This 491-nucleotide ribosomal RNA is filed under the name uncultured bacterium. RNAcentral's name for it is "partial 16S ribosomal RNA". It matches the Rfam family "Bacterial small subunit ribosomal RNA", at positions 899 to 1397 of the family's 1533-position model. The record is from RNAcentral.
ACUCAAAUGAAUUGACGGGGACCCGCACAACCAGUGGAGCGUGUGGUUCAAUUCGAUACGAAACGAAAGACCUCACCAGGGUUUGACAUGCUAGCGUCCUAUUUCCCAGAAACGGGAGAAAUUCGCAAGAAGGCUAGCACAGGUGUUGCAUGGCUGUCGUCAGUUCGUGCCGUGAGGUGUUCCCUUAAGUGGGGAAACGAACGCAACCCCCAUCCAAUGUUAUAUAUUCAUUGGAAACAGAGGACUCAUUUUUGAGUCGAGGAAGGAGGGGUAGAUGUCAAGUCCGCAUGGCCUUUAUACCCUGGGCAACACACACACUACAAUGGCGAAUAACAACGAGUCGCAAGCACGCGAGUGCAAGCCAAUCUCUUAAAUUUCGCCUCAGUUCAGAUCGGAGUCUGCAACUCGACUCCGUGAAGCCGGAAUUGGUAGUAAUCGCAGGUCAGCAAACUGCGGUGAAUACGUUCUCGGGUCUUGUACACACCGCCCGU